UACGAAGGGGGCUAGCGUUGUUCGGAAUUACUGGGCGUAAAGCGCGUGUAGGCGGGUCUUUAAGUCCGGGGUGAAAUGCCAAGGCUCAACCUUGGAACUGCCUUUGAUACUGGAGACCUUGAGUCCGGGAGAGGUGAGUGGAAUUGCGAGUGUAGAGGUGAAAUUCGUAGAUAUUCGCAAGAACACCAGUGGCGAAGGCGGCUCACUGGCCCGGAACUGACGCUGAGAUGCGAAAGCGUGGGGAGCAAACAGG
RNAcentral lists this ribosomal RNA (253 nucleotides) under uncultured bacterium. RNAcentral describes it as "partial 16S ribosomal RNA". It matches the Rfam family "Bacterial small subunit ribosomal RNA", at positions 524 to 776 of the family's 1533-position model. The record is from RNAcentral.